UUUCACACCAACUAAAGUCCCCAACGUAAAGUAUGAGCUCAGUAAGUCUCCGUCUUCGUUUUCUAUGAGGACGGGUGCAGCUGCCUCUGCACAGGUCACAGCCCACAGAGACUUCAACGCUGUCCGAUGCCAUGCCUUGGAAAUGAUCCAUAAAGCGUUCUCAAUGCUUGACCAAGAGUUCCAAAAGCUUGACGGGUAUAAUGGUUCAGUCUUGGUUCAAAGAACUACAGGAAAUGUUGGAGAGACACAGAGCCCAGAAUGAGAACUGGCUACGUGCACGGGCAGAGGAGAAUGACAAGGAGAGGAAGGAGCUGUGUAAACUCAGGGAGGAUAUUGUGCAGGAGCAAGAAAGACUAAAAGAGGAGCAGGGAAACAUCCAGAAACGAAGCGAGCACCUCCUAUCCAUCAUGAAACAGUUCAAAGGCAUGUAAAUACAUGUCUCCAUAGCAACCAACUGGAGAAAACAGAUCUCCCGUGGAUAAAAUGGAAGAAUAGAUUUGACAUUCAUUUGUGUUUUCUGCUGGUGUGUUUGAAUAAUUAGCAUUGUGAGCAUAGGAGAAAUUUGCAUUUGUUGUCUUUUGCCAAAGAGUCAUCUUAUCUUAGAGAGGCGGUGAGGUCAGAGGAAUCAUGUUGACCUUGUCAUAAAAGGGAUAAUAUUUUAACCUGACUGGUACAAAAUCCUAGAGCAUACUAAGUGGGACUAUUAUGAAGGCCUAUGGAAAAUGUUGUAAAGGAAAGUAACAAACAAUCAAUCUGUUUUGUGUUGAAUAAUAAAGCAAUAGUGCAGCGCUCUUUGUAGUUUUGCACAUAUCUGCAGAGAUACACAUUCUGUUCCCUAAUCUUUUAAAUAAUCACACACACUUUUACAGUUUUACACUUUUCAGAUAAUGCAAUCAAGAGAUUUGAUUGUAUUGUAUUUUAUUCUAGCUAAAUCUGGGUAAACCAGAUAGAUUAUUAGGAAAUGGAUGUGUAU
Long non-coding RNA from Esox lucius (northern pike), 973 nucleotides. The record is from Ensembl. Lineage: Eukaryota; Metazoa; Chordata; Actinopteri; Esociformes; Esocidae.